Molecule: non-coding RNA, 46 nt
Organism: Acyrthosiphon pisum (pea aphid)
Lineage: Eukaryota; Metazoa; Arthropoda; Insecta; Hemiptera; Aphididae
Source: Rfam
AAAACGGUCCUUUUCAGGACCACCGAUCAUAGACCAGUAAAAGCCA